This 809-nucleotide long non-coding RNA is filed under the name Marmota monax (woodchuck). Lineage: Eukaryota; Metazoa; Chordata; Mammalia; Rodentia; Sciuridae. The record is from RNAcentral.
GUAAGAAAAAAAUCUAAAUUCAUAUUAUAAAUCUCAAUGAAAGACUUUUAUUAAAUGUAUAAGACUAAAACUAUUUUCUACUCUACAUGUAAGUGAGAUGACUGAAUAUUAGGCAUGUGACUUAGAGUUCUUUUUUACUUUUGGUGGAUAUGUUCUUUCAUCCGCCACACAGAUUAGCUGGAUUUCAAGUUGUUUUCAGAGAGAAUAACCUACAGCUGCAAAAUUAUUACUAAAAUAUUUCUUGAGAGUAAUGUUAGUCUUGUCAUGGAUGAUUCAAGACCAUGUACUCUGCCCAUUCUUCUACAUUCAAUAUAUCCCUGGAUCAAACUAGAAUAGAAGAAAGCUAUAAACAAUGGAAAAUUUUCUUAUUCCUUUAUACAGCAAUUUUACUGGCCAAAAAACAAAAAACAAAACAAAACACACACACACACCCAAAAAUAAUAAAAAGCUGAAAGUAUCACACAUCUGUGGUCAAAUAAGAAAUGUUGAAUUUAUAAAUGGAUGCCAAAUAAGUAUCCCAAGGCUGAUAAUUAAUGCAUUCUACCAGAAAGUAUUUGUAUGACUAUCUGUUAUCAACAAAUUAUUUCCUGUCAUUAUAGAAUUAUAAAAUAGCCAAAACAAGUACAAGUGGAAAGGACCAGGAAGAGAAAGCUAAAAUUUUCAUUAUUUUUUCUUAUGGGAAAUAUCCUUGUUAGAUUUAAGCUAUUAAAAACUCCUAUCCUAGGGCUGAGGAUAUAGCUCAGUUGGUAGAGUAAUUGCCCCAUAUGUACAAGACCCUGGGUUCAAUCCCCAGCACCACCAAAAAAAAA